This 311-nucleotide ribosomal RNA is filed under the name uncultured bacterium. RNAcentral's name for it is "bacterial SSU rRNA". It matches the Rfam family "Bacterial small subunit ribosomal RNA", at positions 28 to 334 of the family's 1533-position model. The record is from RNAcentral.
GACGAACGCUGGCGGCGCGCCUAACACAUGCAAGUCGAACGAGCGAGAGAGAGCUUACUUUCUCAAGCGAGUGGCGAACGGGUGAGUAACGCGUGAGGAACCUGCCUCAAAGAGGGGGACAACAGUUGGAAACGACUGCUAAUACCGCAUAAGCCCACAGGUCGGCAUCGACCAGAGGGAAAAGGAGCAAUCCGCUUUGAGAUGGCCUCGCGUCCGAUUAGCUGGAUGGUGAGGUAACGGCCCACCAUGGCGACGAUCGGUAGCCGGACUGAGAGGUUGAUCGGCCACAUUGGGACUGAGACACGGCCCAG